Long non-coding RNA from Bubalus bubalis (water buffalo), 1392 nucleotides. RefSeq lists it as uncharacterized. The record is from RefSeq and is a predicted model, not a curated record. Lineage: Eukaryota; Metazoa; Chordata; Mammalia; Artiodactyla; Bovidae. The transcript is spliced from 2 exons.
AUGUUUAACAUAAUAAUAAGUUCAGCAAACGUUGACCAAACUCUACCCAAAGUUAGGCUCGGGGGCUACAGAGAUAAAUAAGAGAGGAACCCUCCUCCUUAAUUUCUCCCUUUCUACUGGAUCGCACAGACAGAGUGGUGUCGAUUCAAUGAAGGCAUUUCUGACGUAGGACAGACCCAAGACAGAGCCUCCAUGUGGCUGCCACAACUCACCCGACCGGAAGUCGUGCAGGCGAUGUUGUCACUUGCCCAAGCAUAGAAAUCACAGGACACUUCUGAUCCUGCUGUGGACACCGUGAGGAAGCCGCAGGCCUCGUCCAGUGCACAGUCUGCAAGAACCAGGGGACAGUCACCCACCUGUCUCUCAGGCGAUACAGAGGACAGACAGACACAAAUGCCUACUCCCUGCCCCUCAAACACACACACACACACACACACACACAGUAACAAUGACUACUCAUGGAGGACUGGAGGAUUAUGAGAAAAUUCUUGUAAAGAUGAAUGCUCAAUAUGUGGUAUUUGUUAUUAUUCAUCUCUGGCCUCACCCUUGAAAUAGACAGCUGCAUCUCCUGAGCUGGACUAAAUGCUCCACAAAGAACAAAUGUCCCUCAGUGCUUCUCCCUUAACAUCUGGCAGAGCCUCAUUCUUGGCAGGCAGCAGAUGCACUAUAAACUCAGAACUAAAAUUAUGAGUUAGAUGUACAUUUUGGAAAUCAGUUGAUUUACAGAGUAUUUCUGAAGAAGUAUAUUUGAUUAUGAUCUCGAAGGUUAUAUGUAACAUGUCUUGCAAGAUCAGCACCAUGUAUUCCUAUGGCACCACCCACGUGCCCGGCCCCCCAUUGCCCCUCACCUGCCAAGCACUGCAUCAGUGAGGACUCAGAACUGGGAACUUCAGACCUGACCAUCACAGCCACAUCAGCAUUGAAGAUCACCUUAGAUUCUGGAAGCUUCUCAAAUUUCCGCAUCACUGAAAUGUAAGCAUAUCCAUGAAACUUGACUCUGAAGAGUCUGGGGUCUCUGCAGAGAAGCCAAAAGGAAAUUUAGGUCAAGAAAUCACUUCCCACCCAUUGCAUUUGCUCACAUGGGUGCUGCAAAAAGACAAAUUCCCUUUGAAGGGUAGUUCCAGAAGCUACCUCAUAGCUAACACUGAGCGCUAUCACUCACCAUGUCUCCUCUUUUUCAUCUCAGUGUCUGGAAGUAAGAAUAUCUAUUAUAUGUUAAUCCUCACAACUCCCUUUUUCACAUUGAUACUGAUUUUCUACAUAAAUUUAUAUUUCCUUGUCCUUAUCUUUGAAAGCUAAUGAUAUCUCAUAAUUAUUUUAUUUAUAAUGAUACAAAUGAAAUAUCUUAUUUAUAAUGAUAUCUCAUGUUUAUUUUUAAACAACUUGACCUCU